GCCAGCGGAGAUGCGCGGCUGCGUGGACGCGCGAUGUGUGUGGGACAUUGAGUUUACGACUGACAAAGAGGACAGGUCCGUACUUCAGCCGGUUAUGCUGCUGUGAUGCAUUGACAUAAAAUUCCAUAGACAAAGAUGAUGUCAAAGACAAAAAUCAUACCAAAAGAGAUCUGAAAAGGUGUUGAUAUUUUCAGUUAACCUGACAAUUUAAAGUAGAAAGCGCUAUAAGCUUUUGAAUGAACAAAUGUUUUAUUGUGACAACAUUGUAUCAAGAGAGAAGGAGUCAAAUAAAUGAACAAGCUUGUUCAUGGUGGUACAUCUCUACUAGUUAAAAAUCAUGUAUAGUAGUGCACAGUCAGUUGGCCAUGCUGAGGCUAGUCCAAUGCAUUCUCCCAAUCUCCAUUCAUCUCCUAGAAUCAGUCACAGACGGGUAAAUGCUGGCAGAAGAGGCAGUGAGUGUGGAGGUGGCAGAAAGACCCUUUCUAUGGAGAAUAUCCAGUCCCUCAAUGCUGCCUAUGCAGCCUCUGGUCCGGUCUACGUAAGUGAUCAUGAGGCUCUAGCCUCCACUGCGUACCCAAAAGGCACUAUGACACUGGGCCGCAGCACAAGCCGUGGAAAAUCUGCCAUUAUGGGCAGUACCCCCAACAUUAGUUCUUCCUUGGGGCAUCUUCAUUUAGAUUCAUUAGCAUAUGGAGAUCAUGGAGCCAUGUACCUCCUACCACAACACCAAUGGCCUUCUUCACCACUGUUGAGACAAGCUGUGCGAAGUGUGGCCAGAAGAGAAGGAAAUCCCCUGAUAGAGCACCUAAGGGAAUUGCAAAUGGAUAACACCAUGUUACGGAAAGAGCUAGAUGUGAGAGACAGCACUCUUGGUUCUUCGGUCAACAGUAUCAAAACCUUCUGGAGUCCUGAAUUAAAGAAGAAACGAGGGAUUAGAAAAGACAGUGUUGCAAAGACCUCCAUGGUGAAGGAGAAAAUGAGCGUAAUGAAGGACAAGAACCAGAUGACCAUCCAGGAUUUACAGGAUGAGCUUUGCACCCAGAGAGACUUGAAUGAGCUCCUGCAGCAAGAGAACAGUGCAGGCUCAUCAGGGUCACCUCCUGACUGUUUCCCUUACCUGGAGCUCAAUGAAGACAACUUCCAUUAUCUCCAAGCUGAGAAUGAGCAGCAAACCAAGGAGCUUUUCCUUCUACGGAAAACUCUGGAGGAAAUGGAGCUACGCAUGAAAAAACAGAAACAGACACUGAGUGUCCGAGAUGAAUCCAUCAAAAAGUUGCUGGAUAUACUUCAGGAAAAGGGUCCUACCCGGUCUGGGCUGCCUGAUGAAGAUGGACUGAGGGUCUGCCGUGCUGAGGACAUGCUGGGUCAUCUGGGGGACAUCCAAGAGCUGAAAGAGAAGGAGAAUAAACACGUAAGAGAGGACACCAAAAUUUCUUCACUGGAGCGGAACAUCCGUGAACUGGAAGAUGAGAUCCAGAUGCUGAAGACCAACAGUUUCCUGAACACAGACAACAAAGAUGAGAGGCUCAAGCAAAGUGACGUUUACAAGAACCACUCCAAGUUCAUGAAGAGCAAGAUUGAUCAGCUGAAGCAGGACUUAUCAAAAAAAGAGUCAGAGAUGUUGGCCCUGCAGACUCAACUGGAGACUUUGACCAAUCAGAAUUCAGACUGUAAACAGCACAUUGAAGUUCUGAAGGAGUCCAUUACAGCAAAAGAGCAAAGAGCGACUAUCAUGCAGACAGAGGUUGAUGCCCUGAGGCUGCGUCUGGAGGAAAAAGAGUCCUUCCUGAAUAAAAAGAGUAAGCAGCUUCAGGAUCUAACAGAUGAGAAAGGCAUUUUAACUGGGGAAAUACGUGACCUGAAGGACAUGCUGGAGGUGAAAGAGCGCAAGAUUGUUGUGCUGCAGAAGAAGAUUGAAAACCUACAAGACCAGUUGAAGGAUAAGGAUAAGCAGUUGGCAUGCUUGAGGGACAGAGUGAAGUCUCUACAGACUGACUCCAGCAACACAGACACAGCCCUUGCCACUCUUGAGGAAGCCCUCUCUGAAAAGGAGCGAGUGAUAGAGCAGCUAAGGGAGAAGAAAGAAAAAGAAGAGUGGGAGAAGCAGGGGGAAAUAGAAGUCUGUAAGAAGGAGAACAAGGAGCUAAAGGACAAGAUUGCUUGCUUGCAGGCACAGCUUUUGGAGAAAGAGAGUCUGCUGCAUGGAAAGUCAUUGGCCAUUGAAAGAGAAGAGUCUUCACAAAUGAAUUCAGAGAUCUCAGAGCGAUUAAAAGUCCUUGAAAAAGAGGUGACAUUCCAUAAAGAGGAAUCUGGGAAAUCUAAGGCAGAGGUGGACAGACUUUUGGGAGUUCUUAGAGAGCUGGAGUCAGAGCGCACUGAAAAGGACAAGACAAUCUCUGAACUAGAGAGACAAGUGAAGGAAUGGAGUAAUAAAACCCUGUCAAGUGCUAAACCCCCCCAGAUGGGAGAUUCAAGAAGCCCUCAUGCAGCAGAGGCUCAUAUUACCCAAGCUUCGGCGCAAGAGACGGCUGAGAAAAUCAAAGAGCUGGAGAAAGCUCUGCGAGAGAGCAUGAACACCUCUACUCAUAGAGAGGCUUUGUGGGUUCAGGAGGAGCAGGCACAUGCUCUAGCACAGAGACAGCUGGAAGACCUGAUGGCUGCAUUGGAGAAGACAAGACAAGAGUUGGAUGUGACAAAACAGCAGCUGUCCUCCACCCAAAAUUCUCUUGCUGAGAGAGAAACUCACCUGAGCAGCAUGAGGCAGGAGCGUCGAAAACAACUGGAGGAAAUUCUAGAAAUGAAGCAACAAGCCCUGUUGGCAGCCAUCAGCGAAAAGGAUGCUAACAUUGCCCUGCUAGAACUUUCUGCUCCUAAAAAGAAGACAAGCCAAGAAGAGGUGAUGGCCUUGAAAAGAGAAAAGGACAGGCUCAUGUAUCAGCUCAAGCAGCAGACCCAAAGUAGGAUGAAACUCAUUGCUGAGAAUUAUGAAGAUGGUCACUUUUAUCCCCAUCAUCCUCACCAUCCACACCAUGGUCACCCUGAACACAUUCACUAUCGUAGACCAUCAAGAGGAUUGUCCACUCACAACAAUCCUGAACCUGAGCAACCUGAGCCACCUGAGCAGGAUGAUGAAGAAGGCAUCUGGGCAUGAUUAUUGGUAUGGCCUGGAUUGCUGCUCCUGUUCGGUUCAAAAGGGAAGUCUAAUGCUGAAGCUCUAUCUAUCACUGCACUGUCUCAUCCUUAUCUCUGUGAGGAGGGUCUCAUCUUUAACCCAGGCAGAAGGGGGGGGGACAGGGAGAAAGAAAAUAAAGAGGAGAGGAGUGAAUGAUCAGAAGGAAGUGGGCAGAAAUCUAAUCGCUGACAGCUGCUGCUCUUCUCAUCAGCUGCUCCUCUUCUGCUUCCUCACUGAAGCUCCUCAUCACUAUUUGUACCAUAAUUGGGCCCUGUAACUGCCAUCAUUGCAAUUUCACUCCAAAUACCUGGACCUUAUGAAUCUUCAUCAUUAACACUUCCAUUACACUAAUAUCAUGUGUUAUUGCUUCAUUAUUAUUCAUGUUGUGAGCAUUACUCACAACACCAAUGUUGAAUGAAUAGUGAACCUACAGUAUAUGUGAAUAGUGAAUGAAUAGUAACCUAAAUGUGAUCAUAGUUGUUAUUAACAUAUGAAAUGGUUUUGUUGUUCUUUUAUCCUGCCUUAAGUAGGAUUUUGAUGAGAAAAUUAUUAGCUUAUUAUCAUUAGCUUAUUAUUUUUUGUUAUUGAAUGUUAUUUAAUAUUUAAUACAGUAUUCUGUUUCUCUACAAAAUCCCAUCGAAGCACUUGUUAAUAACAGCAUGCUUUUCCAAGAUUCACAUCACUGUUGUCUUUGAAGUCUCUAUAACUGAAUAACGACAGAGUACUGAUUCAUUUAGUGAUUCAUGGUGAUAUAACAAACAGCAGCAACGUCUUAUGAGUCAAAUGUUUUCUUAUCUUCUCUCUGCUUUACCCAAAUCCAGAUUGAACCUAGAGGAAAAUAUCUUGCUUUUCUUCAACAUCGUAUUCACAUCUAUCACUUUUUUUUUUUGUUAAGAUGUUAGUGUUCACCUGUGUGUUUUCUUUUGACAGUUAUAUGUUGUUGCUUUUCAGGGACCUGCUAAAAGAAACAGUACUAUAACUGCUUCGUAAUGAGGGUAAGGGCUUAAUAAAUCACUGACCAGACCCUUAAACUUUGACCUCUGGCUGUAAUGUCCUCAACAGUCUCAGUACCUGAAGCCAAAACUAGUGAAGAAGGAAGGAAAUUGUAAAUAGGGUGUUUAAUCUUUACGCAAAAUGUGCCAAAAUGUGGUGGUGUUUUUUUUUAAUAUUGUAACUUCAUGUGAUUGAUCCUGUGGGCUCAUGAACAAACAAGAGGCCUAGUUAUGUGUAUGAUUAUGUGUAUACGCAUUGUAUGAUUUAUUGAACUUUGUGUUAAACUGAAGGUUAUGCACUGUAUGUAUCCAUGGUUCUUGUAAAUUGUGGAGUACUAUUUGCACAUUUCCUUGCAGAGAAGGCUACCAAUAGCAAAGUUGACCCCAAGAAAAAAAAAACACAUAUAUAGUUUGGGGUUUAAACCAUGGUCUGGUUAACAUUAUUCAUAAAAUGCAGUUCUAUCUUGCUAGGAGCUGCUGCAUUUAGAAGCUGCAUUGAGUAACAUUGGCUAGUUUAAUUUCUCAGAACCAGAUGCCACACUGUGCCUUUUCCCCCUGACACAUGUACAAUGAAAUCAGAAGACAUACAGUAAUAGCGUAAAAUGUAUUUCAAUUUGUGUUGAGAAAUGCAUGGUACAAUUCAAAGUGAUGGUUGUGUUUAUUCAUCUUUAAUCACAGGAAUUAGUCUGAUUUCAUUUUUUUAUCAGUUGAAAUCUGAAAGCUUUUGCUAUAGAUUUGGUGUAUGAAUGAAACGAAUAAAUAAAAACCUGAUGA
Molecule: RNA transcript, 4938 nt
Organism: Hemibagrus wyckioides
Lineage: Eukaryota; Metazoa; Chordata; Actinopteri; Siluriformes; Bagridae
Gene: erc2
Gene name: ERC protein 2
Exons: 18
Source: RefSeq, a predicted model, not a curated record